RNAcentral lists this ribosomal RNA (760 nucleotides) under uncultured beta proteobacterium. RNAcentral describes it as "bacterial SSU rRNA". It matches the Rfam family "Bacterial small subunit ribosomal RNA", at positions 8 to 759 of the family's 1533-position model. The record is from RNAcentral. Lineage: Bacteria; Pseudomonadati; Pseudomonadota; Betaproteobacteria.
AGAGUUGUAUCCUGGCUCAGAUUGAACGCUGGCGGGAUGCUUUACACAUGCAAGUCGAACGGCAGCAUAGAGAGCUUGCUCUCUGAUGGCGAGUGGCGAACGGGUGAGUAAUAUAUCGGAACGUGCCCAGUAAUGGGGAAUAACUAGCCGAAAGGUUAGCUAAUACCGCAUACGACCUACGGGUGAAAGCAGGGGAUCUUAGGACCUUGCGUUAUUGGAGCGGCCGAUAUCUGAUUAGCUUGUUGGUGGGGUAAAAGCCUACCAAGGCAACGAUCAGUAGCUGGUCUGAGAGGACGAUCAGCCACACUGGAACUGAGACACGGUCCAGACUCCUACGGGAGGCAGCAGUGGGGAAUUUUGGACAAUGGGGGAAACCCUGAUCCAGCCAUCCCGCGUGAGUGAAGAAGGCCUUCGGGUUGUAAAGCUCUUUCGAAAGUGAAGAAAACUUAUUUCGUAAUAUGUUAUAAGUAUGACGGUAACUUUAGAAGAAGCACCGGCUAACUACGUGCCAGCAGCCGCGGUAAUACGUAGGGUGCGAGCGUUAAUCGGAAUUACUGGGCGUAAAGCGUGCGCAGGCGGUUUUGUAAGUCAGAUGUGAAAUCCCCGAGCUUAACUUGGGAACUGCGUUUGAAACUACAAGACUAGAGUGUGUCAGAGGGGGGUAGAAUUCCACGUGUAGCAGUGAAAUGCGUAGAGAUGUGGAGGAAUACCAAUGGCGAAGGCAGCCCCCUGGGAUAACACUGACGCUCAUGCACGAAAG